Molecule: ribosomal RNA, 504 nt
Filed under: uncultured Acidobacteriaceae bacterium
Lineage: Bacteria; Pseudomonadati; Acidobacteriota; Terriglobia; Terriglobales; Acidobacteriaceae
Description: partial 16S ribosomal RNA
Rfam family: Bacterial small subunit ribosomal RNA
Source: RNAcentral
AGAGUUUGAUCCUGGCUCAGAAUCAACGCUGGCGGCGUGCCUAACACAUGCAAGUCGAACGCGAAAGGUUCCUUCGGGAACCCGGUAGAGUGGCGGACGGGUGAGUAACACGUGGGUAAUCUGCCUUUGGGUGGGGAAUAACCCUUCGAAAGAGGGGCUAAUACCGCAUAACGCAGCGGCACCGAAUGGUGACAGUUGUUAAAGUGGGGGAUCGCAAGACCUCACGCCUGAAGAGGAGCCCGCGCCCGAUUAGCUAGUUGGUGCGGUAAAGGCGUACCAAGGCGACGAUCGGUAGCCGGCCUGAGAGGGCGGACGGCCACACUGGCACUGAGAGACGGGCCAGACUCCUACGGGAGGCAGCAGUGGGGAAUUUUGGGCAAUGGGCGCAAGCCUGACCCAGCAACGCCGCGUGAAGGACGAAAUCCCUCUGGGAUGUAAACUUCGAAAGUUGGGGAAGAAAUCCGUGUGAGGAGAAUGCACACGGGAUGACGGUACCCAACUAGC